Molecule: microRNA precursor, 74 nt
Filed under: Branchiostoma floridae (Florida lancelet)
Lineage: Eukaryota; Metazoa; Chordata; Leptocardii; Amphioxiformes; Branchiostomatidae
Description: microRNA bfl-mir-4882a precursor
Source: miRBase by way of RNAcentral
UCUCUGAUCACAUUUGUAGGGUUUUUUUCACAUGAAAGCAGACAGGUGAGAAACCUUACAGGUGUCUUUAGUGU